This 253-nucleotide ribosomal RNA is filed under the name uncultured bacterium. RNAcentral describes it as "partial 16S ribosomal RNA". It matches the Rfam family "Bacterial small subunit ribosomal RNA", at positions 524 to 776 of the family's 1533-position model. The record is from RNAcentral.
AACGUAGGACGCAAGCGUUAUCCGGAGUUACUGGGCUUAAAGCGUGCGUAGGCGGCUGAGAAAGUUGGGUGUGAAAUCCCUCGGCUCAACCGAGGAAUUGCGCUCAAAACUACUUGGCUUGAGAGAGUUAGAGGUGAGCGGAACUAAUGGUGGAGCGGUGAAAUGCGUUGAUAUCAUUAGGAACACCGGUGGCGAAAGCGGCUCACUGGGGCUCUACUGACGCUGAGGCACGAAAGCUAGGGUAGCGAACGGG